RNAcentral lists this unclassified non-coding RNA (968 nucleotides) under Hevea brasiliensis (rubber tree). The record is from RNAcentral. Lineage: Eukaryota; Viridiplantae; Streptophyta; Magnoliopsida; Malpighiales; Euphorbiaceae.
GAAAAGGAAGCAAAAUAGUAGUGUUCAUCCUACAACUGACUUGACUGCUGUGUAAGUAGAGGAAUGCAAGAUCCUCCAUCACAAGAAAAGUAGGUUAUAUCACAUCAAUCAAUCCAACAAAUCAGACACAGCAUUCUUCUUGAAUGCAUCCACCUGAGCCAACAUGUUUGUCAAUCCUUUAUUCGGGAAUAUAUUAUCCGCCUUCAUUCUAUCAGCAAUACCAUAACAAGGAGCUUUGGCAUUUAUAUACGCACGAAUAAGGUAUUGGUACUGAGUAGCUCGGGAAACAUAUCCAGCUUGUCUCAUUCUGUGAAACAUUUUCUCAGUAUUAUGAAUAUCACCUUUCUUUGCAUAUUGGUCCAUAAUCAUCAAAUAAGAAUAAAUCAUUGGCCUCAACCGAUUCUGCUCUCCAGCUUUAUGUAAUAUUGAAUCCGCUUUUUCCACUUCUCCAGCUUCAAUAUAAAGUCUGACUAAGGCAUCCCAAGUCACUGGUCCAAUACGGCAACCACUGUCAGCCAUACGCUUCACAAGGUCCUUUCCUUUUGACAGCAUCUUAUGAUUUGCAUAAAUGUUCAAUAAAACAGAAUAAUGCUUCGAUGACAGUGUUGGCCAUUUUGCUGCCAUCUUUUCAAAUAUUGCCUCCGCCUCCUUAAUAUUAUGCAGUUUUCCCCAAGCAUCUAUAGCAGCCACACAUUCUUCAAGACGAGGAUUAGACUCACAAACGUGCCAAAUUCUAGCAACUUCGUUGGCCCUUCCAAGAGCUGCAUAAUGAGGAAGCAAACUACGACAUGCCCAGCGAGUUGCUUUUUUAUCUCCUCCUUCCAUCUCUUUUAGUACAUUCUCGGCCUUCUCAUUCAGACCACCCGAGAUAUAAUGCUUCACCAAGAUGCUCUUUGUGGUGAGAUCAGGUUCUAGUCCUUCAGCCUUCAUGGUCUCAACAAUUUGCUCCAUUCCAGAUAUGUCGUUGA